Molecule: ribosomal RNA, 1434 nt
Filed under: uncultured organism
Description: 16S ribosomal RNA
Rfam family: Bacterial small subunit ribosomal RNA
Source: RNAcentral
CAGGCUUAACACAUGCAAGUCGAGGGGCAGCAUGGUCUUAGCUUGCUAAGGCCGAUGGCGACCGGCGCACGGGUGAGUAACACGUAUCCAACCUGCCGUCUACUCUUGGACAGCCUUCUGAAAGGAAGAUUAAUACAAGAUGGCAUCAUGAGUCCACAUGUUCACAUGAUUAAAGGUAUUCCGGUAGACGAUGGGGAUGCGUUCCAUUAGAUAGUAGGCGGGGUAACGGCCCACCUAGUCUUCGAUGGAUAGGGGUUCUGAGAGGAAGGUCCCCCACAUUGGAACUGAGACACGGUCCAAACUCCUACGGGAGGCAGCAGUGAGGAAUAUUGGUCAAUGGGCGAGAGCCUGAACCAGCCAAGUAGCGUGAAGGAUGACUGCCCUAUGGGUUGUAAACUUCUUUUAUAAAGGAAUAAAGUCGGGUAUGCAUACCCGUUUGCAUGUACUUUAUGAAUAAGGAUCGGCUAACUCCGUGCCAGCAGCCGCGGUAAUACGGAGGAUCCGAGCGUUAUCCGGAUUUAUUGGGUUUAAAGGGAGCGUAGAUGGAUGUUUAAGUCAGUUGUGAAAGUUUGCGGCUCAACCGUAAAAUUGCAGUUGAUACUGGAUAUCUUGAGUGCAGUUGAGGCAGGCGGAAUUCGUGGUGUAGCGAUGAAAUGCUUAGAUAUCACGAAGAACUCCGAUUGCGAAGGCAGCCUGCUAAGCUGCAACUGACAUUGAGGCUCGAAAGUGUGGGUAUCAAACAGGAUUAGAUACCCUGGUAGUCCACACGGUAAACGAUGAAUACUCGCUGUUUGCGAUAUACUGCAAGCGGCCAAGCGAAAGCGUUAAGUAUUCCACCUGGGGAGUACGCCGGCAACGGUGAAACUCAAAGGAAUUGACGGGGGCCCGCACAAGCGGAGGAACAUGUGGUUUAAUUCGAUGAUACGCGAGGAACCUUACCCGGGCUUAAAUUGCAGAUGAAUUACGGUGAAAGCCGUAAGCCGCAAGGCAUCUGUGAAGGUGCUGCAUGGUUGUCGUCAGCUCGUGCCGUGAGGUGUCGGCUUAAGUGCCAUAACGAGCGCAACCCUUGUUGUCAGUUACUAACAGGUUCUGCUGAGGACUCUGACAAGACUGCCAUCGUAAGAUGUGAGGAAGGUGGGGAUGACGUCAAAUCAGCACGGCCCUUACGUCCGGGGCUACACACGUGUUACAAUGGGGGGUACAGAGGGCCGCUACCACGCGAGUGGAUGCCAAUCCCAAAAACCUCUCUCAGUUCGGACUGGAGUCUGCAACCCGACUCCACGAAGCUGGAUUCGCUAGUAAUCGCGCAUCAGCCACGGCGCGGUGAAUACGUUCCCGGGCCUUGUACACACCGCCCGUCAAGCCAUGGGAGCCGGGGGUACCUGAAGUGCGUAACCGCGAGGAGCGCCCUAGGGUAAAACUGGUGACUGGGGC